Molecule: non-coding RNA, 26 nt
Filed under: Drosophila melanogaster (fruit fly)
Lineage: Eukaryota; Metazoa; Arthropoda; Insecta; Diptera; Drosophilidae
Source: RNAcentral
UAUGUGUAUAAAGGUAUAUGAGACCA